Molecule: ribosomal RNA, 497 nt
Filed under: uncultured bacterium
Lineage: Bacteria
Description: partial 16S ribosomal RNA
Rfam family: Bacterial small subunit ribosomal RNA
Source: RNAcentral
GAUGAACGCUGGCGGCGUGCCUAAUACAUGCAAGUCGAGCGAACAGACGAGGAGCUUGCUCCUCUGACGUUAGCGGCGGACGGGUGAGUAACACGUGUAUAACCUCCCUAUAAUACUGGGAUAACUUCGGGAAUCCGGAGCUAAUCCCGGAUAAUAUAUUGAACCGCAUGGUUCAAUAGUGAAAUACGGUUUUGCUGUCACUUAUAGAUGGAUCCGCGCCGCAUUAGCUAGUUGGUAAGGUAACGGCUUACCAAGGCAACGAUGCGUAGCCGACCUGAGAGGGUGGUCGGCCACACUGGAACUGAGACACGGUCCAGACUCCUACGGGAGGCAGCAGUCGGGAAUCUUACGCAAUGGGCGAAAGCCUGACGGAGCAGCGCCGCGUGAGUGAUGAAGGUCUUCGGAUCGUAAAACUCUGUUAUUAGGGAAGAACAAAUGUGUAAGUAACUAUGCACGUCUUGACGGUACCUAAUCAGAAAGCCACGGCUAACUACGUG